This 983-nucleotide ribosomal RNA is filed under the name Escherichia coli. RNAcentral describes it as "partial 23S ribosomal RNA". It matches the Rfam family "Bacterial large subunit ribosomal RNA", at positions 419 to 1401 of the family's 2925-position model. Lineage: Bacteria; Pseudomonadati; Pseudomonadota; Gammaproteobacteria; Enterobacterales; Enterobacteriaceae. The record is from RNAcentral.
GGGACACGUGGUAUCCUGUCUGAAUAUGGGGGGACCAUCCUCCAAGGCUAAAUACUCCUGACUGACCGAUAGUGAACCAGUACCGUGAGGGAAAGGCGAAAAGAACCCCGGCGAGGGGAGUGAAAAAGAACCUGAAACCGUGUACGUACAAGCAGUGGGAGCACGCUUAGGCGUGUGACUGCGUACCUUUUGUAUAAUGGGUCAGCGACUUAUAUUCUGUAGCAAGGUUAACCGAAUAGGGGAGCCGAAGGGAAACCGAGUCUUAACUGGGCGUUAAGUUGCAGGGUAUAGACCCGAAACCCGGUGAUCUAGCCAUGGGCAGGUUGAAGGUUGGGUAACACUAACUGGAGGACCGAACCGACUAAUGUUGAAAAAUUAGCGGAUGACUUGUGGCUGGGGGUGAAAGGCCAAUCAAACCGGGAGAUAGCUGGUUCUCCCCGAAAGCUAUUUAGGUAGCGCCUCGUGAAUUCAUCUCCGGGGGUAGAGCACUGUUUCGGCAAGGGGGUCAUCCCGACUUACCAACCCGAUGCAAACUGCGAAUACCGGAGAAUGUUAUCACGGGAGACACACGGCGGGUGCUAACGUCCGUCGUGAAGAGGGAAACAACCCAGACCGCCAGCUAAGGUCCCAAAGUCAUGGUUAAGUGGGAAACGAUGUGGGAAGGCCCAGACAGCCAGGAUGUUGGCUUAGAAGCAGCCAUCAUUUAAAGAAAGCGUAAUAGCUCACUGGUCGAGUCGGCCUGCGCGGAAGAUGUAACGGGGCUAAACCAUGCACCGAAGCUGCGGCAGCGACGCUUAUGCGUUGUUGGGUAGGGGAGCGUUCUGUAAGCCUGUGAAGGUGUGCUGUGAGGCAUGCUGGAGGUAUCAGAAGUGCGAAUGCUGACAUAAGUAACGAUAAAGCGGGUGAAAAGCCCGCUCGCCGGAAGACCAAGGGUUCCUGUCCAACGUUAAUCGGGGCAGGGUGAGUCGACCCCUAAGGCGAGG